GGUAUUGGAUGGGGGAUGCGUCUGAUUAGCUUGUUGGCGGGGUAAAGGCCCCACCAAGGCAACGAUCAGUAGGGGUUCUGAGAGGAAGGUCCCCCACAUUGGAACUGAGACACGGUCCAAACUCCUACGGGAGGCAGCAGUGAGGAAUAUUGGUCAAUGGGCGAGAGCCUGAACCAGCCAAGUAGCGUGCAGGAUGACGGCCCUAUGGGUUGUAAACUGCUUUUAUAUGGGAAUAAAGUGAGGGGACGUGUCCCUUAUUGCAUGUACCAUACGAAUAAGGACCGGCUAAUUCCGUGCCAGCAGCCGCGGUAAAU
Molecule: ribosomal RNA, 314 nt
Filed under: uncultured Prevotella sp.
Lineage: Bacteria; Pseudomonadati; Bacteroidota; Bacteroidia; Bacteroidales; Prevotellaceae
Description: bacterial SSU rRNA
Rfam family: Bacterial small subunit ribosomal RNA
Source: RNAcentral